RNAcentral lists this long non-coding RNA (313 nucleotides) under Vombatus ursinus (common wombat). Its description in RNAcentral is "lncRNA (ENSVURG00010010839.1)". The record is from RNAcentral. Lineage: Eukaryota; Metazoa; Chordata; Mammalia; Diprotodontia; Vombatidae.
GCCUGGGCCUGGGCCUGGGCGGAGGGAUCCCCGGGCUGAGGCGGCGGAGGUGCUGCGGCCCGGGGCCGGGUGGUGAAUGGGCUGGUGGUGCUCGCUGCUGCUGCUGCUGCUGCUGGGAGGAGGAGGAGGAGGAGGAGGAGAAGGAGGAGUGGGGGGGAGGAGGAAGAAGAAGAAGAAGAAGGAGAAGAAGAAGAAGAAGAAGAGUUGGGCUGGUUGGUCUCUCACAGUUAGUCUCCCGCUGCUCGGGUUCUCCUCCGCCCGCCCCCUCCUCUCACUUCGGCCCCGGGCCUCUGUGAGAGGAGAACUUACCUAG